AUACUCCAAAAAAGUAGGAGAAAAUGGAGUGAAAAAGCCUUAACACAAAUGCUAAGUGAGUUCCUUUGAGGAGCUUGCUGGCCGAGAAAGAGGUUACUGAGAUCCCUUUCAAGGAACGGUCCAGUUAUUGGCAACUUUGAGACACGACCUUGGAACUGCAGCAAGACAUUGGUACAACAAGUGAAUUAACAAGGAUAAAGGACUAGAAGAA
Neopelma chrysocephalum (saffron-crested tyrant-manakin) is the source of this 211-nucleotide long non-coding RNA. RefSeq lists it as uncharacterized. The record is from RefSeq and is a predicted model, not a curated record. The transcript is spliced from 3 exons. Lineage: Eukaryota; Metazoa; Chordata; Aves; Passeriformes; Pipridae.